GAUGAACGCUGGCGGCGUGCCUAAUACAUGCAAGUCGAGCGAACAGACGAGGAGCUUGCUCCUCUGACGUUAGCGGCGGAUGGGUGAGUAACACGUGGAUAACCUACCUAUAAGACUGGGAUAACUUCGGGAAACCGGAGCUAAUACCGGAUAAUAUAUUGAACCGCAUGGUUCAAUAGUGAAAGACGGUUUUGCUGUCACUUAUAGAUGGAUCCGCGCCGCAUUAGCUAGUUGGUAAGGUAACGGCUUACCAAGGCGACGAUGCGUAGCCGACCUGAGAGGGUGAUCGGCCACACUGGAACUGAGACACGGUCCAGACUCCUACGGGAGGCAGCAGUAGGGAAUCUUCCGCAAUGGGCGAAAGCUUGACGGAGCAACGCCGCGUGAGUGAUGAAGGUCUUCGGAUCGUAAAACUCUGUUAUUAGGGAGGAACAAAUGUGUAAGUAACUAUGCACGUCUUGACGGUACCUAAUCAGAAAGCCACGGCUAACUACGUG
This 497-nucleotide ribosomal RNA is filed under the name uncultured bacterium. Its description in RNAcentral is "partial 16S ribosomal RNA". It matches the Rfam family "Bacterial small subunit ribosomal RNA", at positions 28 to 507 of the family's 1533-position model. The record is from RNAcentral.